GUGGGAAUAAGCAGCCGGACAUGUUGUUUGAAGCCCUGCUAGUCACACUGAUACCAGUGGCGUUUUCAGGUGGAGGAGACAUUGCUCCCUGGGAGCCACCAGCAACAAAUGCAAUUUUGAAUGAUGGCUUGGGCUCAAGAUAUUCAACAUGUGGGAAGAGGCAGGUAACAUAUGU
This is a long non-coding RNA of Haliotis rufescens (red abalone), 175 nucleotides long. RefSeq lists it as uncharacterized. The record is from RefSeq and is a predicted model, not a curated record. NCBI's taxonomy places the organism in Eukaryota, Metazoa, Mollusca, Gastropoda, Lepetellida, Haliotidae. The transcript has 3 exons.